AACGAACGCUGGCGGCAUGCCUAACACAUGCAAGUCGAACGAGACCUUCGGGUAUAGUGGCGCACGGGUGCGUAACGCGUGGGAACCUGCCCUUAGGUUCGGAAUAACUCCCCGAAAGGGGUGCUAAUACCGGAUAAUGUCUUCGGACCAAAGUUUUAUCGCCUUUGGAUGGGCCCGCGUUGGAUUAGCUAGUUGGUAGGGUAAAAGCCUACCAAGGCGACGAUCCAUAGCUGGUCUGAGAGGAUGAUCAGCCACACUGGGACUGAGACACGGCCCAGACUCCUACGGAAGGCAGCAGGGGUGAAUAUUGGACAAUGGGCGAAAGCCUGAGCCAGCAAGGCCGCGAAAGUGAUGAGGGCCUUAGGGUUGUAAAGCUCUUUUACCCGGGAUGAUAAUGACAGUACCUAGAGAAUAAGCUCCGGCUAACUCCGU
This 432-nucleotide ribosomal RNA is filed under the name uncultured bacterium. RNAcentral's name for it is "partial 16S ribosomal RNA". It matches the Rfam family "Bacterial small subunit ribosomal RNA", at positions 29 to 506 of the family's 1533-position model. The record is from RNAcentral.